RNAcentral lists this ribosomal RNA (451 nucleotides) under uncultured bacterium. Its description in RNAcentral is "partial 16S ribosomal RNA". It matches the Rfam family "Bacterial small subunit ribosomal RNA", at positions 354 to 796 of the family's 1533-position model. The record is from RNAcentral.
GUGGGGAAUAUUGGACAAUGGGCGCAAGCCUGAUCCAGCCAUGCCGCGUGUGUGAAGAAGGCCUUUUGGUUGUAAAGCACUUUAAGCGAGGAGGAGGCUCCUUUAGUUAAUACCUAAAGAGAGUGGACGUUACUCGCAGAAUAAGCACCGGCUAACUCUGUGCCAGCAGCCGCGGUAAUACAGAGGGUGCAAGCGUUAAUCGGAUUUACUGGGCGUAAAGCGCGCGUAGGUGGCCAAUUAAGUCAAAUGUGAAAUCCCCGAGCUUAACUUGGGAAUUGCAUUCGAUACUGGUUGGCUAGAGUAUGGGAGAGGAUGGUAGAAUUCCAGGUGUAGCGGUGAAAUGCGUAGAGAUCUGGAGGAAUACCGAUGGCGAAGGCAGCCAUCUGGCCUAAUACUGACACUGAGGUGCGAAAGCAUGGGGAGCAAACAGGAUUAGAUACCCGGGUAGUCC